This 663-nucleotide ribosomal RNA is filed under the name Arthrobacter sp. G1_10. Its description in RNAcentral is "bacterial SSU rRNA". It matches the Rfam family "Bacterial small subunit ribosomal RNA", at positions 62 to 729 of the family's 1533-position model. Lineage: Bacteria; Bacillati; Actinomycetota; Actinomycetes; Micrococcales; Micrococcaceae. The record is from RNAcentral.
UCGAACGAUGAACCCGCUUGCGGGGGAUUAGUGGCGAACGGGUGAGUAACACGUGAGUAACCUGCCCUUAACUCUGGGAUAAGCCUUGGAAACGGGGUCUAAUACUGGAUAUUGACUUUACCUCGCAUGGGGUUUUGUUGAAAGAUUUAUUGGUUUUGGAUGGACUCGCGGCCUAUCAGCUUGUUGGUGAGGUAAUGGCUCACCAAGGCGACGACGGGUAGCCGGCCUGAGAGGGUGACCGGCCACACUGGGACUGAGACACGGCCCAGACUCCUACGGGAGGCAGCAGUGGGGAAUAUUGCACAAUGGGCGAAAGCCUGAUGCAGCGACGCCGCGUGAGGGAUGACGGCCUUCGGGUUGUAAACCUCUUUCAGUAGGGAACAAGGCCAGCAUUUUUGUUGGUUGAGGGUACUUGCAGAAGAAGCGCCGGCUAACUACGUGCCAGCAGCCGCGGUAAUACGUAGGGCGCAAGCGUUAUCCGGAAUUAUUGGGCGUAAAGAGCUCGUAGGCGGUUUGUCGCGUCUGCCGUGAAAGUCCGGGGCUCAACUCCGGAUCUGCGGUGGGUACGGGCAGACUAGAGUGAUGUAGGGGAGACUGGAAUUCCUGGUGUAGCGGUGAAAUGCGCAGAUAUCAGGAGGAACACCGAUGGCGAAGGCAGGUCUC